UUUGCGGUUACCAAUGUCUACGAUCCUUGCGAUCACGCAACAGAGCCGGGUUUUCUGCAAUCACUCGUUGACCUCAAGCUUCAGAUCUCCUGCCCUUGGGUGAUCAUAGGCGACUUCAACAUCCCGCUUAGACCUUCCAACAAGUCUUCCCCUAACUUUAACAUGCUAGAAGCAAACCUUUUCUCCUCCACCAUCCAUUCCCUGUAGAUGCAAGACCUCCCUCUGCUAAAUAGGUGAUACACUUGGUCAAACCAA
RNAcentral lists this ribosomal RNA (255 nucleotides) under Triticum aestivum (bread wheat). RNAcentral's name for it is "partial small subunit ribosomal RNA". The record is from RNAcentral. Lineage: Eukaryota; Viridiplantae; Streptophyta; Magnoliopsida; Poales; Poaceae.